CAUUAUUUUGUGUGCUCAUUGCGGACAUGUACUGAUGAGUAAGAUAAGAAAGUUUAAAGCUAACACAGGGGCAAUUGACCACUGUGUCACAAUGUAUAGAACAGAGACUUUCAGUAUAGAAGGAUUUUAGCUUAUGCCUAGAAGUGCCAAGGGUUGGUAAGUAUGGUUUUAAACUGUUCUGCCUUAACAGUCAUUUAUUAAAAAGUGUGCUUUAUAAUCAUCACAGCCAUUCACUAAAAGUGUUCCUUAUAAAAGUGCUCUAGGGCCCUGACAUAUGCCUUAGAUAAUGAUGUGCCUUUCAUAAACAGAUGUGCAGGUGCUAGUCAGAGAUGUGAACAACAGGACGAGGGAGGAAGAUCACUCUGUCCUGAGAAGAUGGGGAGGUGUAAAGGGGGGUUUGCAUGCCCAGCAGUCUGCCCAGUGGGAACUCAGUGAAAGCUUGGAAUACAUGACGCAAAUAUGAUAAAAGGAGACAAGCGCUGGAUGCAUCCAAGGUCAACUUCCCUGAAACCACGGUUUCGGUCAGGUAAAAAAAAUAGAACAAUACGUGCUUGUUUGUCCAUAGAGAAACACUGGGGGCUGCUGGUUAUGUAAACUCUCCGCCCAAAAAGAUGAUGAGACGCCUCCUAGGGUAUAAAUAUUAACUACUGAAAAAUAGUAAUCAGACCACCUCAGAGAUACCAUUGGGUUGAUGUUGUGCUCUCCAAGAUAUCUUGUGUUAUUUGAUGUGCCGAAAUAAAAGGUUUGUUGAAGACACCUUUUUGCCUCAGUGAAUCCUCUGU
Non-coding RNA from Xyrichtys novacula (pearly razorfish), 782 nucleotides. The record is from the annotation of a GenBank genome assembly. NCBI's taxonomy places the organism in Eukaryota, Metazoa, Chordata, Actinopteri, Labriformes, Labridae.